This 46-nucleotide ribosomal RNA is filed under the name Cordyceps militaris. RNAcentral describes it as "partial 28S ribosomal RNA". The record is from RNAcentral. Lineage: Eukaryota; Fungi; Ascomycota; Sordariomycetes; Hypocreales; Cordycipitaceae.
CGUUGACCUCGGAUCAGGUAGGAAUACCCGCUGAACUUAAGCAUAU